RNAcentral lists this ribosomal RNA (253 nucleotides) under uncultured bacterium. RNAcentral describes it as "partial 16S ribosomal RNA". It matches the Rfam family "Bacterial small subunit ribosomal RNA", at positions 524 to 776 of the family's 1533-position model. The record is from RNAcentral.
UACGAAGGGGGCUAGCGUUGUUCGGAAUUACUGGGCGUAAAGCGCGUGUAGGCGGGCCGUUAAGUCGGGGGUGAAAGCCCAGAGCUCAACUCUGGAAUUGCCUUCGAUACUGGCGGCCUGGAGCAUGAUAGAGGCGAGUGGAAAUGCGAGUGUAGAGGUGAAAUUCGUAGAUAUUCGCAGGAACACCAGUGGCGAGGGCUACUCGCUGGAUCAUUGCCGACGCUCAGACGCGAAAGCGUGGUUAGCAAACACG